RNAcentral lists this ribosomal RNA (510 nucleotides) under uncultured bacterium. RNAcentral describes it as "partial 16S ribosomal RNA". It matches the Rfam family "Bacterial small subunit ribosomal RNA", at positions 28 to 507 of the family's 1533-position model. The record is from RNAcentral.
GACGAACGCUGGCGGCGUGCUUAACACAUGCAAGUCGAACGAAGAGCGAUGGAAGCUUGCUUCUAUCAAUCUUAGUGGCGAACGGGUGAGUAACGCGUAAUCAACCUGCCCUUCAGAGGGGGACAACAGUUGGAAACGACUGCUAAUACCGCAUACGAUCUAACCUCGGCAUCGAUGAUGGAUGAAAGGUGGCCUCUAUUUAUAAGCUAUCACUGAAGGAGGGGAUUGCGUCUGAUUAGCUAGUUGGAGGGGUAACGGCCCACCAAGGCGAUGAUCAGUAGCCGGUCUGAGAGGAUGAACGGCCACAUUGGGAAUGAGACACGGCCCAGACUCCUACGGGAGGCAGCAGUGGGGAAUCUUCCGCAAUGGACGAAAGGCUGACGGAGCAACGCCGCGUGAGUGAUGACGGCCUUCGGGUUGUAAAGCUCUGUUAAUCGGGACGAAAGGCCUUCUUGCGAAUAGUUAGAAGGAUUGACGGUACCGGAAUAGAAAGCCACGGCUAACUACGUG